UUACGGUCACAUCACGUUGAAUCACCAGUUCUCGUGCGAUCAGCGAAGUUAAGCAACCUUGAGCCUGGAUACUACCUAGAUGGGUGACCGCUUGGGAAUACCAGGUGCAGUAAG
Molecule: non-coding RNA, 114 nt
Organism: Acanthosepion pharaonis
Lineage: Eukaryota; Metazoa; Mollusca; Cephalopoda; Sepiida; Sepiidae
Source: the annotation of a GenBank genome assembly